Molecule: ribosomal RNA, 445 nt
Filed under: uncultured bacterium
Lineage: Bacteria
Description: bacterial SSU rRNA
Rfam family: Bacterial small subunit ribosomal RNA
Source: RNAcentral
UGGGGAAUCUUGCACAAUGGGGGAAACCCUGAUGCAGCGACGCCGCGUGAACGAUGAAGCCCUUCGGGGUGUAAAGUUCUUUCGGCAGGAACGAUAAUGACGGUACCUGAAGAAGAAGCUGCGGCUAACUACGUGCCAGCAGCCGCGGUAAUACGUAGGCAGCAAACGUUGUUCGGAGUUACUGGGCGUAAAGAGUACGUAGGCGGUUUGCCAAGUUUGGUGUGAAAUCUCCUGGCUUAACUGGGAGGGUGCGCCGAAUACUGGCAGACUUGAGUAUUGGAGAGGAAAGCGGAAUUCCUGGUGUAGCGGUGAAAUGCGUAGAUAUCAGGAGGAACACCGGUGGUGUAGACGGCUUUCUGGACAAUCACUGACGCUGAGGUACGAAAGCGUGGGUAGCAAACAGGAUUAGAUACCCGCGUAGUCCCUGAGCGGGCUGGCAAGGCGC